AGUGAACGCUGGCGGCAGGCCUAACACAUGCAAGUCGAACGGCAGCACAAGAGAGCUUGCUCUCUGGGUGGCGAGUGGCGGACGGGUGAGGAAUGCAUCGGAAUCUGCCCAUUUGUGGGGGAUAACCUCGGGAAACCGGGACUAAUACCGCAUACGACCUACGGGUGAAAGCAGGGGAUCUUCGGACCUUGCGCAGAUGGAUGAGCCGAUGCCGGAUUAGCUAGUUGGAGGGGUAAAGGCCCACCAAGGCGACGAUCCGUAGCUGGUCUGAGAGGAUGAUCAGCCACACUGGGACUGAGACACGGCCCAGACUCCUACGGGAGGCAGCAGUGGGGAAUAUUGGACAAUGGGCGCAAGCCUGAUCCAGCCAUGCCGCGUGUGUGAGGAAGGCCUUCGGGUUGUAAAGCACUUUUGUUGGGAAAGAAAAGCAGCCGGUUAAUACCCGGUUGUCAUGACGGUACCCAAAGAAUAAGCACCGGCUAACUUCGUG
RNAcentral lists this ribosomal RNA (490 nucleotides) under uncultured bacterium. RNAcentral describes it as "partial 16S ribosomal RNA". It matches the Rfam family "Bacterial small subunit ribosomal RNA", at positions 29 to 507 of the family's 1533-position model. The record is from RNAcentral.